Molecule: long non-coding RNA, 1101 nt
Organism: Ictalurus punctatus (channel catfish)
Lineage: Eukaryota; Metazoa; Chordata; Actinopteri; Siluriformes; Ictaluridae
Source: Ensembl
GUUUUCUAGUAAUUGUGAUGCUAUGUAUUAGGUUCAGGUUUCAAAAAGGUACCAGCUUUAACACCAUUUUCAUGCUAAGUGGUGUUAAUUAAUACAAAUCUACAACCAUGAACGUACACGGAAUCCGGUCGCUGACUAUUAAACAGCCAUGACAUUUUAUAUACAGCGAAUAUAUAAGAUUGUUCUGUUUAUCAUUAAAAAAAAAAAAAAAAAAAAAAAACCCAAAAAAAACCUCUAACGGAAAAUAUUUCUACCAAGAAAAAUCACUACAAUUACAUGUAAAGUUAAUUUAAAUUCAUGUAACAUAAAUUCAAGAAAAGAUACACGAGGGAAGUCAAAUGAGCCAAGUGAGUGAAAACUUACUUAAAAUAUAAUAUUCUAUUUUCACAGCACCUUUCUCAAACUCGAGGCGGCUUCGCAAAGAUUUACAACAAAAGAACACAAAUGGAACAAACGUAACGACAAACAUAAAGUGUUCAUGGGUCAGCUUAAUAGAUGUGAUAAAAUAAGCAUAAAUAACACAGCAAAAUAACGCGCGAACAACUAUAAACGAGACAUUUUUUAAUGCGUUUCCAUUUGAUCUCAUUAUGCAUAUGGAACUUUAGGUAAUUAUUACCCAUUAACAGUACAGGCCUCUAAAUUUGAUGCUGCAACUUAAAAAUAAAAUCUUAUCCGAGACAACAAGAAAGAAAAGAAGAAAAAAAAACCAAAAAAAAACAUUUAUGUUUAAUUAACCGAGCAAAUCAAAUCUUCAUAGAUGUGUUCUGUAUGCUUGUGCGGCUUCCUCGCGUUAAUGCUGCGCAAUAUAAACAGCACCAGUGAGGUUUAUCUCUGUGCAUGUCACUAAAUGAAAGAGACUCUGAGAGGAAAAGAGAGAUUAAGUGCGAGGGAGAGAAAUGAAUAUACGCCAGCCAAAAGAGAAGGGGCUGUGGAAGUGGGAAAGGGAGAGAGAGAAAAGCUAAAUUUGGGGCAGGAGGGAAGCCAAAUGUUUGCUUCUCUGUGCUCUCAUUACAAACUCUGGAGGUUUUCCACUUUUAGACACAGAAAGAAAGAGAGAGAGAGAGAGAGAGAGAGAGAGAGAGAGAGAGAGUCUGACAACAA